CCAGACUCCUACGGGAGGCAGCAGUGAGGAAUAUUGGUCAAUGGCCGAGAGGCUGAACCAGCCAAGUCGCGUGAGGGAUGACGGCCCUACGGGUUGUAAACCUCUUUUGUCGGGGAGCAAAGAGAGUCACGUGUGGCUCAUUGAGAGUACCCGAAGAAAAAGCAUCGGCUAACUCCGUGCCAGCAGCCGCGGUAAUACGGAGGAUGCGAGCGUUAUCCGGAUUUAUUGGGUUUAAAGGGUGCGUAGGCGGGAUGCCAAGUCAGCGGUAAAAAUGCGGUGCUCAACGCCGUCGAGCCGUUGAAACUGGCGUUCUUGAGUGGGCGAGAAGUAUGCGGAAUGCGUGGUGUAGCGGUGAAGUGCAUAGAUAUCACGCAGAACUCCGAUUGCGAAGGCAGCAUACCGGCGCCCUACUGACGCUGAGGCACGAAAGCGUGGGUAUCGAACAGGAUUAGAUACCCGAGUA
This 463-nucleotide ribosomal RNA is filed under the name uncultured bacterium. RNAcentral describes it as "bacterial SSU rRNA". It matches the Rfam family "Bacterial small subunit ribosomal RNA", at positions 331 to 792 of the family's 1533-position model. The record is from RNAcentral.